GACGAACGCUGGCGGCGUGCUUAACACAUGCAAGUCGAACGGAAAGGCCUCUUUCGGGGGGUACUCGAGUGGCGAACGGGUGAGUAACACGUGAGUAACCUGCCCUUGACUUUGGGAUAACUUCAGGAAACUGGGGCUAAUACCGGAUAGGAGCUCCUGCUGCAUGGUGGGGGUUGGAAAGUUUCGGCGGUUGGGGAUGGACUCGCGGCUUAUCAGCUUGUUGGUGGGGUAGUGGCUUACCAAGGCUUUGACGGGUAGCCGGCCUGAGAGGGUGACCGGCCAAAUUGGGACUGAGAUCCGGCCCAGACUCCUACGGGAGGAAGAAGUGGGGAAUAUGGCAAAAUGGGUGGAAGCCUGAUGCAGGAAGGCCGUGUGCGGGAUGACGGCCUUCGGGUUGUAACCCGCUUUCGCUCAUGACGAAGCUUUGUGUGACGGUAGUGGGUAAAGAAGCACCGGCUAACUACGUG
RNAcentral lists this ribosomal RNA (467 nucleotides) under uncultured bacterium. Its description in RNAcentral is "partial 16S ribosomal RNA". It matches the Rfam family "Bacterial small subunit ribosomal RNA", at positions 28 to 507 of the family's 1533-position model. The record is from RNAcentral.